Molecule: ribosomal RNA, 451 nt
Filed under: uncultured bacterium
Lineage: Bacteria
Description: partial 16S ribosomal RNA
Rfam family: Bacterial small subunit ribosomal RNA
Source: RNAcentral
GAUGAACGCUGGCGGCGUGCCUAACACAUGCAAGUCGAGCGGCAGCGAGGGGUGCUUGCACCCUGUCGGCGAGCGGCGGACGGCUGAGUAACGCGUGGGAACGUGCCCCAAAGUGAGGAAUAACUGCCCGAAAGGGUAGCUAAUACCGCAUAUUAUCUUUGGAUCAAAGGAUUUAUCCGCUUUGGGAGCGGCUCGCGUCGGAUUAGGUAGUUGGUGAGGUAAUGGCUCACCAAGCCGACGAUCCGUAGCUGGUCUGAGAGGAUGACCAGCCAGACUGGAACUGAGACACGGUCCAGACUCCUACGGGAGGCAGCAGUGAGGAAUCUUCCACAAUGGGCGAAAGCCUGAUGGAGCAACGCCGCGUGCAGGACGAAGGCCUUCGGGUUGUAAACUGCUUUUAUAAGUGAGGAAUAUGACGGUAACUUAUGAAUAAGGAUCGGCUAACUACGUG